This 798-nucleotide ribosomal RNA is filed under the name uncultured bacterium. Its description in RNAcentral is "bacterial SSU rRNA". It matches the Rfam family "Bacterial small subunit ribosomal RNA", at positions 57 to 861 of the family's 1533-position model. The record is from RNAcentral.
GCAAGUCGAGGGGUAUAGGUUUUCGGACCUAGAGACCGGCGCACGGGUGCGUAACGCGUAUGCAAUCUACCUUUUACAGAGGGAUAGCCCAGAGAAAUUUGGAUUAAUACCUCAUAGUACUACGACUCGGCAUCGAGAUGUAAUUAAAGUCACAACGGUAAAAGAUGAGCAUGCGUCCCAUUAGCUAGUUGGUAAGGUAACGGCUUACCAAGGCAACGAUGGGUAGGGGUCCUGAGAGGGAGAUCCCCCACACUGGUACUGAGACACGGACCAGACUCCUACGGGAGGCAGCAGUGAGGAAUAUUGGUCAAUGGGCGCAAGCCUGAACCAGCCAUGCCGCGUGCAGGAUGACGGUCCUAUGGAUUGUAAACUGCUUUUGUACAGGAAGAAACCUUAGCACGUGUGCUAAAUUGACGGUACUGUAAGAAUAAGGAUCGGCUAACUCCGUGCCAGCAGCCGCGGUAAUACGGAGGAUCCAAGCGUUAUCCGGAAUCAUUGGGUUUAAAGGGUCCGUAGGCGGUUUUGUAAGUCAGUGGUGAAAGCCCAUCGCUCAACGGUGGAACGGCCAUUGAUACUGCAAGACUUGAAUUAUUAGGAAGUAACUAGAAUAUGUAGUGUAGCGGUGAAAUGCUUAGAGAUUACAUGGAAUACCAAUUGCGAAGGCAGGUUACUACUAAUAUAUUGACGCUGAUGGACGAAAGCGUGGGGAGCGAACAGGAUUAGAUACCCUGGUAGUCCACGCCGUAAACGAUGGAUACUAGCUGUUCGGAGCAAUCUGAGUGGCUAAGCGAAAGUGAU